This 431-nucleotide ribosomal RNA is filed under the name uncultured bacterium. RNAcentral describes it as "bacterial SSU rRNA". It matches the Rfam family "Bacterial small subunit ribosomal RNA", at positions 29 to 506 of the family's 1533-position model. The record is from RNAcentral.
GCGAACGCUGGCGGCAGGCUUAACACAUGCAAGUCGAACGCACUCUUCGGAGUGAGUGGCAGACGGGUGAGUAACGCGUGGGAACGUACCUUUUGCUUCGGAAUAUUCUCGGGAAACUGAGAGCAAUACCGAAUACGCCCUGAGGGGGAAAGAUUUAUCGGCAAAAGAUCGGCCCGCGUUAGAUUAGGUAGUUGGUAGGGUAAUGGCCUACCAAGCCUACGAUCUAUAGCUGGUCUGAGAGGAUGAUCAGCCACAUUGGGACUGAGACACGGCCCAAACUCCUACGGGAGGCAGCAGUGGGGAAUAUUGGACAAUGGGCGAAAGCCUGAUCCAGCCAUGCCGCGUGAAUGAUGAAGGCCUUAGGGUUGUAAAAUUCUUUCACCGGGGACGAUAAUGACGGUACCCGGAGAAGAAGCCCCGGCUAACUUCGU